AGCAGUCGCCGCGGGAAUACGUAGGUGGCAAGCGUUGUCCGGAAUUAUUGGGCGUAAAGGGCUCGCAGGCGGUUUCUUAAGUCUGAUGUGAAAGCCCCCGGCUCAACCGGGGAGGGUCAUUGGAAACUGGGAAACUUGAGUGCAGAAGAGGAGAGUGGAAUUCCACGUGUAGCGGUGAAAUGCGUAGAGAUGUGGAGGAACACCAGUGGCGAAGGCGACUCUCUGGUCUGUAACUGACGCUGAGGAGCGAAAGCGUGGGGAGCGAACAGGAUUAGAUACCCGAGUAGUCCCUGUCUCUUAUAC
RNAcentral lists this ribosomal RNA (303 nucleotides) under uncultured bacterium. RNAcentral's name for it is "partial 16S ribosomal RNA". It matches the Rfam family "Bacterial small subunit ribosomal RNA", at positions 507 to 807 of the family's 1533-position model. The record is from RNAcentral.